Long non-coding RNA from Heterocephalus glaber (naked mole-rat), 742 nucleotides. RefSeq lists it as uncharacterized. Lineage: Eukaryota; Metazoa; Chordata; Mammalia; Rodentia; Bathyergidae. The record is from RefSeq and is a predicted model, not a curated record.
CGAUGACUGCCGCUGACCUCGCUCGGGGCGCGGGCGGGAGAAGAGGAUCGCGGCCCAGCUGCAGCAGGAAAGGGGCUGUCUGGUGGACACCGGGGGCCCAAACCCUCGCCCGCCGCCGUCAACAUCCCUUGGUUGUGCUUCGCGCUCCUUAAAAAUCACUGUCGAGCGUUUGCGCCUUCUAGAAAGAAGGUUGUAUGAAGAUACAAUAAGGUUCUUGCCCUCAGAAGGCUCCAGGAUGCUAAGUGCAGGAGAGAAAUAUAAUACUACUCUGGAAGCACAGAAGAGAAUAGCUUGGGAAUGAACACAGCCAUUUUUCAAACAAAAACUGGAAGAAAAGGGCAUAAUGACCACUGUAUCAAAGUUGGCACUGUGCACCAUACACUGAUGCAUGUGGACAGAACCGGAUGGAGAGAGCAAAACUUGAGGUGAUGAUUUGUUCCACGGAACAGAGAACCUGGUCCCUACCCAGUGACUGAACACAGGCUUCGCAGUGUGCCUCCUCCCAGCCCAGCUGCAGGCCUGCUGCACUCAGCAGCCUGUGCCCAUGCUGCUGUCUUCGAGUUCACAUGCUUGCCUGUCAGAAUCACACUAACCCUACAGCCAAAGAUUUCUUAUAUUCAAUGCAAAGAGUGUGUCAUGCCAUAGAAGAAGAUAAUAAACUACUGUCCUACAUUGAAAUUAAGAAUUUCUGUUUCCGGGGAUUGAACUCAGGUCCUUGCGCUUGCGCAGCAGGCAGCGAAAC